GCCUGGCUGGCUCAGUGAGUAGAGCAUGUGACUCUCAAUCUACAGGUCCUGAGUUCCAGCCUCACGUUGGGCA
RNAcentral lists this transfer RNA (73 nucleotides) under Ailuropoda melanoleuca (giant panda). It matches the Rfam family "tRNA". Rfam says of the family: Transfer RNA (tRNA) molecules are approximately 80 nucleotides in length. Their secondary structure includes four short double-helical elements and three loops (D, anti-codon, and T loops). Further hydrogen bonds mediate the characteristic L-shaped molecular structure. tRNAs have two regions of fundamental functional importance: the anti-codon, which is responsible for specific mRNA codon recognition, and the 3' end, to which the tRNAs corresponding amino acid is attached (by aminoacyl-tRNA synthetases). tRNAs cope with the degeneracy of the genetic code in two manners: having more than one tRNA (with a specific anti-codon) for a particular amino acid; and 'wobble' base-pairing, i.e. permitting non-standard base-pairing at the 3rd anti-codon position. The record is from Rfam by way of RNAcentral. Lineage: Eukaryota; Metazoa; Chordata; Mammalia; Carnivora; Ursidae.